Molecule: ribosomal RNA, 455 nt
Filed under: uncultured bacterium
Lineage: Bacteria
Description: bacterial SSU rRNA
Rfam family: Bacterial small subunit ribosomal RNA
Source: RNAcentral
UACGGAAGGCAGCAGGGGGGAAUAUUGCACAAUGGGCGAAAGCCUGAUGCAGCUAUGCCGCGUGUAUGAAGAAGGCCUUAGGGUUGUAAAGUACUUUCAUCGGGGAGGAAAAACAAAACUAAUAAUUUUAUUUCUUGACGUUACCCGAAAAAGAAGCACCGGCUAACUCCGUGCCAGCAGCCGCGGUAAUACGGAGGGUGCUAGCGUUAAUCAGAAUUACUGGGCGUAAAGAGCACGUAGGUGGUUUUUUUAAGUCAGAUGUGAAAUCCCUGGGCUUAACCUAGGAACUGCAUUUUGAAACUGAAAUACUAGAGUAUCGUAGAGGGAGGUAGAAUUCUAGGUGUAGCGGUGAAAUGCGUAGAUAUCUGGAGGAAUACCUGUGGCGAAAGCGGCCUCCUAAACGAAUACUGACACUGAGGUGCGAAAGCGUGGGGAGCAAACAGGGAUUAGAUACC